AGUGGCAUUUGUUUUCCUGCUAGAAUGGACUGUUUUGUAAAACUGAAAUGAAAAAAUGUGAAUGUACAAUUCAUUUCAGUUUUACAAAACAGUCCAUUCUAGCAGGAAAACAAAUGCCACU
Molecule: non-coding RNA, 121 nt
Organism: Podarcis lilfordi (Lilford's wall lizard)
Lineage: Eukaryota; Metazoa; Chordata; Lepidosauria; Squamata; Lacertidae
Source: the annotation of a GenBank genome assembly